UUGAGUUGGAAGGUCAGCUGAAUGUUUUCUCUGCCUCUCUGAGCCAGCAGGCUUUUACCCCAGCAUCUGGCCCCUGAGUCUUCCUUCGUUGGUAAAAUUGAAUGGCUGGGAUUUUUGGUUUUCAAAUAACAGUUUGGCUCUCCAGCUUGUGGUAGGAACCUCAGGGACAGUGAUAGAGCACUUCUGCUGAGGACAACCUGAGAAGCCAUCAGAUCUGGUCCAGUGAGGUGCAUGGAGCCAGAAGCAGGCACAGGAAUGGAUNUGUUUCUCGUGAUCCGGCACAAGAAGACCACCAUCUUCACUGAUGCCAAGGAGUCGAGCACAGUGUUGGAGCUCAAGCGCAUAAUUGAGGGCAUCAUGAAGAGGCCUCCUGAGGAGCAGCUGCUGUUCAAGGAAGAUCAGCUGCUUGAUGAGACAAAAACUCUGGGUGAAUGUGGCUUCACUAGUCAGGUAGCAAGGCCAGAGGCCCCAGCCACAGUGUUCCUGGCCUUCAGAAUAGGAGAUGUCUUUGAAGGUCUGGAGGUCUACCCCUAUUCUCCUCCUCUAAAUCUUUUAGACCUACUGAUGGAAUUUGAAAAUGAUGAUGGUGUCCAAUAUUUAGAUGAGGACCCCAUGCCCAACUCCUAG
Mus pahari (shrew mouse) is the source of this 627-nucleotide RNA transcript. It is a transcript of the gene named elongin-B pseudogene, with no coding region annotated. The transcript is spliced from 2 exons. The record is from RefSeq and is a predicted model, not a curated record. NCBI's taxonomy places the organism in Eukaryota, Metazoa, Chordata, Mammalia, Rodentia, Muridae.